Molecule: transfer RNA, 83 nt
Filed under: Candidatus Zixiibacteriota bacterium
Lineage: Bacteria; Pseudomonadati; Candidatus Zixiibacteriota
Also listed under: 2 other names
Description: candidate division Zixibacteria bacterium (sediment metagenome) tRNA-Leu
Rfam family: tRNA
About the family: Transfer RNA (tRNA) molecules are approximately 80 nucleotides in length. Their secondary structure includes four short double-helical elements and three loops (D, anti-codon, and T loops). Further hydrogen bonds mediate the characteristic L-shaped molecular structure. tRNAs have two regions of fundamental functional importance: the anti-codon, which is responsible for specific mRNA codon recognition, and the 3' end, to which the tRNAs corresponding amino acid is attached (by aminoacyl-tRNA synthetases). tRNAs cope with the degeneracy of the genetic code in two manners: having more than one tRNA (with a specific anti-codon) for a particular amino acid; and 'wobble' base-pairing, i.e. permitting non-standard base-pairing at the 3rd anti-codon position.
Source: RNAcentral
GCCGAAGUGGUGGAACUGGCAGACACACGGUGUUCAGGGCGCCGCGCCCACAAAGCGUGCGGGUUCGAAUCCCGCCUUCGGCA